Molecule: microRNA precursor, 62 nt
Filed under: Sphenodon punctatus (tuatara)
Lineage: Eukaryota; Metazoa; Chordata; Lepidosauria; Sphenodontia; Sphenodontidae
Description: Spt-Mir-30-P2b_pre stem-loop
Rfam family: mir-30 microRNA precursor family
About the family: This family consists of the mammalian microRNA (miRNA) precursor mir-30a. Animal miRNAs are transcribed as ~70nt precursors and subsequently processed by the Dicer enzyme to give a ~22nt product.
Source: RNAcentral
UGUAAACAUCCUACACUCUCAGCUGUAGAAAGUAAAAAAGCUGGGAGAAGGCUGUUUACUCU